Molecule: ribosomal RNA, 467 nt
Filed under: uncultured bacterium
Lineage: Bacteria
Description: partial 16S ribosomal RNA
Rfam family: Bacterial small subunit ribosomal RNA
Source: RNAcentral
GAUGAACGCUGGCGGCGCGCCUAACACAUGCAAGUCGAACGAUUAAAGCACCUUCGGGUGUGUAUAAAGUGGCGAACGGCUGAGUAACACGUGGGCAACCUGCCCCUCUCAUUGGGAUAGCCACGGGAAACCGUGGAUAAUACCGAAUACUUCGGGUCUUCCGCAUGGAAGACCCGAGAAAGCUCCGGCGGUGGGGGAUGGGCCCGCGGCCUGUUAGCUUGUUGGUGGGGUAAUGGCCUACCAAGGCAAUGAUGGGUAGCUGGGUUGAGAGACCGACCAGCCAGAUUGGGACUGAGACACGGCCCAGACGCCUACGGGAGGCAGCAGUGGGGAAUCUUGCACAAUGGGCGAAAGCCUGAUGCAGCGACGCCGCGUGCGGGAUGAAGGCCUUCGGGUUGUAAACCGCUUUCAGCAGGGACGAGGCGAAAGUGACGGUACCUGCAGAAGAAGCCCCGGCUAACUACGUG